AUGUCCGACCGAACUUUCGGUUUCGGUUUCGGUUUCGGCCGAGUUUCGGCCAAAAAUCAAGUUUCGGCUGCAGUUUCGGUUUCGGCCAAAAUCGGCCGAAACUUUUGCCGAAACCGAAACUUAUCUCGCAAGGUCACGCACGUUCGCCUAACUUCGUUUUCCGCGGCAAAGCUGUGUCGUAAGCCGUCGGCUCUGUUCGGGAAUCAUCGUGUGCCGUUCGGAUAGCUCCGUAGUAAUGCAAUAAAACUUAGUCAGUGCGUGUGCGUCCGACGGAAACAUUAUUUGGAGGUUAUGUUUUGAUGAAACUGAUAACAUAGUAAAAUGUCACAACGAGAAACAAAUCCGAUUUGGCAGUACUUUGAUAAAAGUAUCAGUGAUACAUCAAAAGCUGUUUGCAAGUAUUUAUUGUAUUAAAUAAAUGAUUACAAUACCUACAACAAACUGAAUUAAUAUACUGUGUUUCCACUUCAUACCCUAAUUAAUGCAAAA
Helicoverpa armigera (cotton bollworm) is the source of this 489-nucleotide long non-coding RNA. RefSeq lists it as uncharacterized. The record is from RefSeq and is a predicted model, not a curated record. Lineage: Eukaryota; Metazoa; Arthropoda; Insecta; Lepidoptera; Noctuidae. The transcript is spliced from 2 exons.